GGAGUUAGCCGGUGCUUCUUCUGUGAGUGAUGUCCUUCCUGCCGGCUAUUAACCCGCAGGCCUUCUUCCUCACUGAAAGUGCUUUACAACCCGAAGGCCUUCUUCACACACGCGGCAUGGCUGGAUCAGGGUUGCCCCCAUUGUCCAAUAUUCCCCACUGCUGCCUCCCGUAGGAGUCUGGGCCGUGUCUCAGUCCCAGUGUGGCUGAUCAUCCUCUCAGACCAGCUACGGAUCGUCGCCUUGGUGAGUCGUUACCUCACCAACCAGCUAAUCCGACAUAGGCUCAUCCGAUAGCGCGAGGCCCGAAGGUCCCCCGCUUUCCCCCGUAGGGCGUAUGCGGUAUUAGCCUGGGUUUCCCCAGGUUAUCCCCCACUACCGGGCAGAUUCCUAUGCAUUACUCACCCGUCCGCCGCUCGCCACCAGGGAGCAAGCUCCCCGUGCUGCCGCUCGACUUGCAUGUGUUAGGCCUGCCGCCAGCGUUCAAUCUGAGCCAGGAUCAAACUCUGA
Molecule: ribosomal RNA, 507 nt
Filed under: uncultured bacterium
Lineage: Bacteria
Description: partial 16S ribosomal RNA
Source: RNAcentral